CUAAGAUCUGGAGGAGGUGGAGGGGCCAGUGCUGCAAUGACGUCCAGGCGGAGGGAGCAGGAAGUGCGAACGCCGAGAGGUGGGAAUGAGCCCGCAGUCGAUUCACUGUCGGGACAACCAGAGGAGUCCAACCUUCCACUCCGGCUUCCAGGACAGAAGAGCUGUUCUCAGAAAAGGCCCUGAGAUGAGAGCUGCCACUUGAGGGUCAUACGAAGCAAAUCCAUGAUGGAUGCAUUCUGCGGCAGCUCACAGAACAUCCACGUGCUCUGGUUCCUCAUAAGCAAGGCUGUGGGAGAUAUUUACACAGCUCCUGCUAUGAUGGACCAGGCAGUCUGCCAGGCUCCUGGGCUAUAACAGACUGGAAAAAGAGAAAUCCUCCUGCCCCCACGGAGCUAGGGUAGAAGGAUCAACCCCAUUCUCCUCCCCAUGGAGCAGUCUCAGCUUCCAGUCAAGGACUUGGCUUGCUGGUAGGCUUCUCAGUUGAAAGGAGCAGAAGCCCCGACUCAGACAGGUGUGAACCAGGAGGAAGUGUGUGAGCCCACAUCCAGAGGUCCGGGAAGGAAUGCAGAUGACAGGGCUGGAGCACCAGCAGCCAUGUUGGGCUAUAAGAUGACCUUGAAGAAGGAAGUUAUGCACUGAAGACAGAGGAACAUAAAGAUAGAAGGUACCUGGGUCCCAGAGAACACUGUAUGGUCACCACACCAGCCCUGGACCAUCUACCUCAG
RNAcentral lists this long non-coding RNA (725 nucleotides) under Equus caballus (horse). RNAcentral describes it as "lncRNA (ENSECAG00000053404.1)". Lineage: Eukaryota; Metazoa; Chordata; Mammalia; Perissodactyla; Equidae. The record is from RNAcentral.